UUCUAUAACAUUUAUUAUAAGUAUUUUUACUCUGAAACCACUUUUAAUGUUUCUUUUCUUUUCUGUCGAUAAACUGAAUUUUUCAUUGGCAUAAUAUGGCAGCCGCGACUUCUCCAUACGUCAAAAAGUGAAUUAAUUCAAGUUUCAACUACAACUGGCCGUCUCGCGCGGUCGUAGGUCGUUGAUAAGCGACGAAAGACGCUUCCGGGAAUAGAUUAUGACGAUUAUAUGUGAUUAUACUUAAAGCUGAAUAAUUAUGAAUGAUCAAAAGCAAAAGAAAACUUCAAUGGGCUUGGUAUGUUCUAAAUAAUAACUGGAAAAUCCGAAAAUUAAAUUACUAGUACUAACUAGGUAGUAACUAGUGACUCAGCAAGUUGAUCAAAAGAAAAUAUGACUCAUUCAAAAUCAUAAUUUUUAUCAAUGUUUUAAAUUAAAUAUAAUUUAGUAAUAGAAGAAUGGAAUACUGAAAAUAAAUGGCAACAUUUGAUAUAAUUUA
This is a long non-coding RNA of Aphis gossypii (cotton aphid), 496 nucleotides long. RefSeq lists it as uncharacterized. The record is from RefSeq and is a predicted model, not a curated record. The transcript has 2 exons. NCBI's taxonomy places the organism in Eukaryota, Metazoa, Arthropoda, Insecta, Hemiptera, Aphididae.